Molecule: transfer RNA, 73 nt
Organism: Planctomyces sp. SH-PL62
Lineage: Bacteria; Pseudomonadati; Planctomycetota; Planctomycetia; Planctomycetales; Planctomycetaceae
Rfam family: tRNA
About the family: Transfer RNA (tRNA) molecules are approximately 80 nucleotides in length. Their secondary structure includes four short double-helical elements and three loops (D, anti-codon, and T loops). Further hydrogen bonds mediate the characteristic L-shaped molecular structure. tRNAs have two regions of fundamental functional importance: the anti-codon, which is responsible for specific mRNA codon recognition, and the 3' end, to which the tRNAs corresponding amino acid is attached (by aminoacyl-tRNA synthetases). tRNAs cope with the degeneracy of the genetic code in two manners: having more than one tRNA (with a specific anti-codon) for a particular amino acid; and 'wobble' base-pairing, i.e. permitting non-standard base-pairing at the 3rd anti-codon position.
Source: Rfam
GGGGGAUUAGCUCAGCUGGGAGAGCGCUUGCAUGGCAUGCAAGAGGUCAAGGGUUCAAAUCCCUUAUCCUCCA